This 418-nucleotide ribosomal RNA is filed under the name uncultured microorganism. RNAcentral describes it as "bacterial SSU rRNA". It matches the Rfam family "Archaeal small subunit ribosomal RNA", at positions 330 to 745 of the family's 1478-position model. The record is from RNAcentral.
GUGCACCAGUCGCGAAACUUUACAAUGCGGGAAACCGUGAUAAGGGAACCUCGAGUGCCGAUGCCCAGCAUUGGCUGUCCACAUGCCUAAAAGCAUGUGUUAGCAAGGGCCGGGCAAGACCGGUGCCAGCCGCCGCGGUAACACCGGCGGCUCGAGUGGUAGCCACUUUUAUUGGGUCUAAAAGCGUCCGUAGCCGGCUUGGUAAGUCUUCUGGGAAAUCUGGCGGCUCAACCGUCAGGCGUCCAGGGAGAUACUGUCAGGCUUGGGACCGGGAGAGGUGAGAGGUACCUCAGGGGUAGGGGUGAAAUCUUGUGAUCCUUGAGGGACCGACCAGUGGCGAAGGCGUCUCACUAGAACGGGCUCCGACGGUCAGGGGACGAAAGCUAGGGGGCAGAACCGGAUUAGAUACCCGUGUAGU